CGUGACGUGAGGGCUGCAGCGGUGACCUGGAAGGAGGGACUGGAACGCAGUGCAGACUCAGAGGUCUGGUCACCAGCUAGCAAGGUCAAGGACCAUGGAGAGACUCUUCAACCUCCACGUCACUCUCGAAGCAUCGUUACCCAUCGUGCCACAAAAGCCACGGCCCUUGCAGAGCAAAGGGGGAACCACUACUUCUGGGUCUCAGAGCGAGUGACGAACACCGACUUAAACACUAAUAGCGUGCACCACCGCUAACUAGCUAGCCAUUUCACAUCGGCCACACAAAGCUCUUAGAGACUUACCCAGAAUGACUC
Molecule: long non-coding RNA, 314 nt
Organism: Oncorhynchus tshawytscha (Chinook salmon)
Lineage: Eukaryota; Metazoa; Chordata; Actinopteri; Salmoniformes; Salmonidae
Source: Ensembl